UUUAUUUUUUGGUUGUGGUUUUCUUUUCUCAAUUCGUUUUCACUUUUCUCAUACUCACAAUUCUUAACUGCAACACCAAUCUGCACCGUGAAUAUCGUUCUUAUUGAGGUCAAUUGCAAGACCAAUUUCAGCACUUGGUUAGUGAUUUGGGAAAUGUAAUUGGGUUGCCGCUACAAAGCGUGUAAAGAUCUUGCGGUAAUUCAGUGAAUCCACUGAAAGUAUAGCUGUCUUAGCGCCUGCAAUAAACAACUGCAUCAGUUGUGGUAUCAGUCAGUAGUGCUGCAUCACAUAAUUUUCCUGUUAGAUCAAUUUGAGGGCAUAGCUAAGAUAGGCGUGGUGGUGUGUGGUUUUGGAGUUUUGAGAUUGUGGAAAUGUGAGGUUUGAAGAUUGGAGUAGAAGAAGCUCUUUGAUGAGGAAUGUAAAUGAGAUAACCAACAUGAAUGUCCUUAUAUGUGGAUUAACUUGCAUGCAGUACAAGUUCUAUGUUGAUGGAAAAUGGGGAUAUGAUGAAUCUGAACAUCAUGUGACUAGUGAUUAUGGGAUUGUGAACACACCACAUCUAUCUACGGAUGACAUGGAUGUUGAUAAUGAUGCCUUUUCGGCAUGUGGCUUGACUUGAGGAGUUGUUUGAACUUGAGUGUUCUUAAUACCCAACCAAGCUUUGCUCAUUUGAAACCUAUGAGCCUAUGAAGCAAGUUUUUAUUUGGCUAAGCAUUCUUUGUAGGUGGUGAGUUUUGAUUUUUUUUGAAGAGCCGUGUGUUUGGCUUGAGCACAGUCAAAAUAUCGCAUGCCUUGGGUUAUAGAUGAUGUCGAGGGGAGAUAUAUUUCAUUGCAACAAAGUUUUAGCUUGGUUGCAUAUCUUCAUGAGGAAUUUGUUAUCAUUUGAUUAGUAUUUGAGUGAAUACAUUCGAACUUAUAUUAUGUAUAUGAUAUUGAACUUGGGUAUUAUUUUCCCUUAUUAGUAGUUAUUGAUUGAGCAGUUGUUAUGCUUAUAUGAGUAUUUGUGAUUGAAAAUU
This is a long non-coding RNA of Quercus lobata, 1016 nucleotides long. RefSeq lists it as uncharacterized. Lineage: Eukaryota; Viridiplantae; Streptophyta; Magnoliopsida; Fagales; Fagaceae. The transcript has 9 exons. The record is from RefSeq and is a predicted model, not a curated record.